AAGGCGUGCGAUACAGGGUGACAGCCCCGUACACAAAAAUGCACAUAUUGUGAGCUCGAUGAGUAGGGCGGGACACGUGGUAUCCUGUCUGAAUAUGGGGGGACCAUCCUCCAAGGCUAAAUACUCCUGACUGACCGAUAGUGAACCAGUACCGUGAGGGAAAGGCGAAAAGAACCCCGGCGAGGGGAGUGAAAAAGAACCUGAAACCGUGUACGUACAAGCAGUGGGAGCACGCUUAGGCGUGUGACUGCGUACCUUUUGUAUAAUGGGUCAGCGACUUAUAUUCUGUAGCAAGGUUAACCGAAUAGGGGAGCCGAAGGGAAACCGAGUCUUAACUGGGCGUUAAGUUGCAGGGUAUAGACCCGAAACCCGGUGAUCUAGCCAUGGGCAGGUUGAAGGUUGGGUAACACUAACUGGAGGACCGAACCGACUAAUGUUGAAAAAUUAGCGGAUGACUUGUGGCUGGGGGUGAAAGGCCAAUCAAACCGGGAGAUAGCUGGUUCUCCCCGAAAGCUAUUUAGGUAGCGCCUCGUGAAUUCAUCUCCGGGGGUAGAGCACUGUUUCGGCAAGGGGGUCAUCCCGACUUACCAACCCGAUGCAAACUGCGAAUACCGGAGAAUGUUAUCACGGGAGACACACGGCGGGUGCUAACGUCCGUCGUGAAGAGGGAAACAACCCAGACCGCCAGCUAAGGUCCCAAAGUCAUGGUUAAGUGGGAAACGAUGUGGGAAGGCCCAGACAGCCAGGAUGUUGGCUUAGAAGCAGCCAUCAUUUAAAGAAAGCGUAAUAGCUCACUGGUCGAGUCGGCCUGCGCGGAAGAUGUAACGGGGCUAAACCAUGCAC
RNAcentral lists this ribosomal RNA (843 nucleotides) under Escherichia coli. RNAcentral's name for it is "partial 23S ribosomal RNA". It matches the Rfam family "Bacterial large subunit ribosomal RNA", at positions 347 to 1194 of the family's 2925-position model. Lineage: Bacteria; Pseudomonadati; Pseudomonadota; Gammaproteobacteria; Enterobacterales; Enterobacteriaceae. The record is from RNAcentral.